AUGCCUAACACAUGCAAGUCGGACGCUCAUGAGGGUUUCGGCCCUUGUGGGAGUGGCGGACGGGUGAGUAGCGCGUGGGAACCUGCCCUCUUGUGGGGGAUAACCGAGGGAAACUUCGGCUAAUACCGCAUGCGCCCCUGGGGGAGACCUCGGGGGGAAAGAUUUAUCGCAGGAGGAGGGGCCCGCGUCGGAUUAGGUAGUUGGUGGGGUAACGGCCUACCAAGCCUGUGAUCCGUAGCUGGUCUGAGAGGAUGAUCAGCCACACUGGGACUGAGACACGGCCCAG
Molecule: ribosomal RNA, 286 nt
Filed under: uncultured bacterium
Lineage: Bacteria
Description: partial 16S ribosomal RNA
Rfam family: Bacterial small subunit ribosomal RNA
Source: RNAcentral